GGCCGGGCGGGCUUCUUCCCCGCACAGUUUCCCGCGAGUACCGGGAGGCAGCCGCGGGCGGCGGGCCCCCGAGCGGGAGGAGGGCGAUGCUUUCUCGGAGCCUGGGGGCUCUCCCCCCCUACCCCACCCCCGCUGCCCAUGACUUGGCUUUCCCUGGCUGGGGAAGUGUGAGGGCGAGAUAAGCGGCUAGCUGGGGCCCAGGGACGGGCUGGGGCGGCUGGUGGGGCCCCCGGGCGCCCCCUCCUCCCCAGGACGCUUCCCCCCGCAGCUUCUCCGUAGUCCCGAGGCCGAGGGGGGCCACGGGGCUCGGCUCCAGCGGGCCGCCCUCUCACCCAGCUGGGGGGCGCGGGGGGAGCCUCUGCUGGAGCACCCGCCUUGCCUGAGAUCUCACACAUUCUCACACUCACGCACACUCACUUGCUCACUCAGGCACGCUCACACAUCUUUAUGCACGCACUCAUUUUCACACUCACGCUCAAACAUUCCCUAAGUAGGAACCGAAGCGGGACCGUCCCAACGGGAGCGGCGGCCGCCCUGUGUCCGGAGGCUCGUGAGGUUCCCAGAGAGAGCAGGGGCCGGGACCCCGGGGCUGGACCCAACUCUAUCCGGGCCUCCGCCCGCUCUUGGCCUUGGAGUCCCUCAAGACAGGGCUUUGCUCUCUGCCCUUCUUCCGCUCACUCGAUCCCAUUAAUUGAGCAUUUAUUAGGAGUCCCCCCCCCGCCAAGGAGCCGGCGCUGCCCCGGAGGAAGCGGGAGUCCGCGGACCAGAUGUUCCCGCCCGCUCUGAACCCGGGACCCCGUGAGGGGGCGGGCGCGCUGACAUUCGUCUCUCCCCAGGGCGGUCCCGGCGGGCGCCUUUCAGUGAUCUCUAAGCUCUGUUACAGCAUUGGGGGAGCCCCCAACCAGGCAGCCUCCAGCGCCGCAGCCUUUUACCUGCAGCUCUUCCUGCUGGAUGUGGCCAGGAUCCCCGCGGCCCAAGCCUCGCUCGUCCUGUUCGCGGGAAAGCUGUCGGGGGCGGCGGCCGAUCCCGCGGCCGGAUUCCUCGUCAGCCGGAGCCCGCGGACCCGCCUGGGCCGCCUGACCCCCUGGAUCCUGAGCUGCUCGCCCUUCCUGGCCCUCACCUACUUCUUGCUGUGGUUCCUGCCCACCGUGGGCCGGCUGCGGGCGCUCUGGUACGGGGCCUUCUACUGCCUCUUCCAGGCGCUGUCCACGCUGCUCCAGGUCCCCUACUCCGCCCUCACCAUGUUCCUCACUCGGGACCAGCAGGAGAGAGAUUCGGCCACUGCCUAUCGGAUGACCGCGGAGAUGGCCGGCACGCUGAUUGGAGCCACUGCCCACGGUCUCAUCGUGGCCGGCGCCCACGAGGCCCCCACGUGCCCGGAGGCCAACCUCACGGCCCCGCCGCCCUCCCUGGGCUCGGGUACCCCUCCGCACACGAGCCAGCUCUACAUGAUCGCCGCCGGGGUCGUCGCGGGAACCUACCCCCUGUGCGCGGCCCUGCUGGCCCUGGGGACCUCCGAGGAAGACGAUCUCGGCGGCCUCCAGCGCCAGGGGCUCUCCUUCCUCCAGGGGCUCGGCCGCACCCUCCGGCACCAGCCCUACCAGCGGCUCGUGGCUGCCUUCCUCUUCAUCUCCGCCGCCGUCCAGGUUCAGCAGAGCUAUCUGGUCCUGUUCUGCACCCACGCGGGCCCCCUGCACAGCCACACGCAGAACCUGGUGCUGCUGGUGCUGGUGGCAGCUGUCCUGAGCACCCCCUUCUGGGAAUGGUUCCUGCAGAAAGUGGGGAAGAAGACCGCAGCCUGCGGGAUCGGGGCCAUGGUGCCCUCUGCGCUCCUGCUGGCAGCCGUGCCCACCGCCCCCGUGGCCUACAGCAUGGCCUUCGUGUCCGGUGCCAGCAUUGCCGUGGCCUCGCUGCUGCCCUGGUCCAUGCUGCCCGAUGUUGUGGAUGACUUCAGGCUCCAGAAACCUGCUCCGAAAGGCCUGGAAACCAUCUUCUACUCUUCCUAUGUCUUCUUCACCAAGCUGUCGGGGGCCGGGGCCCUGGGCAUCUCCACCCUGAGCCUGGACUUCGCAGGGUACGAGUCCGGCGCCUGUAAGCAGUCUGAGCAGGCGGUGCUGGCGCUCAAGGUCCUGAUCGGAGCCGUCCCCACCAGCAUGGUGUUGCUGGGGCUGGCCAUCCUGUCGGCGUACCCCAUCACCGAGCAGCGGCGCCAGGAGAUCGCCCGCGAGCUGGACGCGCUGAGGAACGAGGUGCCCGUGUCCAGGACCCCCAGUCCCAGCAGAGCCCAAAGUGGAGCCACCGCUUUGACCGAGGGUCCCUGAGCCUGACCCAGCAGCGCCACGCCUGACGAAGGCCUAGGACUCUAGUUCCCAGCCGGGUUCUGCCGGGCUUUAAGAAGGACGGGGCUCGGCAUUUGAAGGGGGAAGGUAAUCCCAUGCCAGUGCUCAGGCUGGUGCUUCCCCGGAGCCUGUCAGCCUCUGGUCAUACCCACAGCUGCCAGGUACCCAUCCCCACAGCUGCCAGGCGGCCAUCCCCAGAGCUGCCAGGUAUCUUGCCCGUAGCUGCCAGGUACCCAUCCCCAGAGCUGCCAGGCACCCAUCCCCAGAGCUGCCAGGUACCCAUCCCCAGAGCUGCCAGGCACCCAUCCCCAGAGCUGCCAGGUACCCAUCCCCAGAACUACCAGGUACCCAUCCCCACAGCUGCCAGGCGGCCAUCCCCAAAGCUGCCAGGUAUCUUGCCCGCAGCUGCCAGGCACCCAUCCCUAGAGCUGCCAGGUACCCAUCCCCAGAACUACCAGGUAUUUGUGCCCAUGGCUGCCAGGUACCCCUCCCUAGAGCUGCCAGGUACCCAUCCCCAGAGCUGCUGGGUACCCCUCCCUAGAGCUGCCAGGUAGCUGGGCUACAGCCCUUUGGUGGAACUUGAAAGACAUUUCCCUUAUUUCCAUUCCAUAUGGCCAAAGACAUUUCCACAAGGCCAUGAUGUGGAUCUCCUAAGCCCCUCCCCUUCCCCUCCCUUCCCACUGCUCUGAAUGCAGCAUCCACCUCCCACUUCACAGUCACCCUGGAUCCUUGAAGAACUCUUCCUGCCUCCCCCCACUGGCUUAUCCAAUGUGGCGCCAAGGCCCGUGCUUUCACCUCGGCAGCCUCUCAGACGCUCCCUCUGAACCUGCCCUCCCCUGGGGCAGACCCUCAUCCUCACACCUGGAACCCUGCAGUGGCUUCUGGGGGCUCCGCCAGCCUCAGGAGUGACCCUAUCCCAGUCCACCCUCCAUCCGGCCAAUCAAGUGAUUUUCCCAAAGCAGAGACCUCUCCCUGUCACCUCCUGCUCAGUAAAAUUCAAUGGCUCCCUAUCACUCUCAAGAACAAAUACAAAAUUCUCUGCUUGGCCUCCAACGCCCUCUCGAUGUAGCCCCUCCUUCCUUUCAGACUUCUUACACCCCAAAGUAUACUCUUUAGUCCUGUAACCCCAGCCAACAAGACCCCCAUCUCUCAGCUCUGGGUAUUCUCGUUGGUGUCCCCCAGGCCUGGAACACUCUCCCUUCUCCAUUCCCCUGCUUCCUUUAAGCCCCGCCUCAAAAAGCCCCCUUCUCCAGGAAGCCCUCCCUAACCCUUCUUCAUGUCAGUGUCUUUCCCAUUAACUUGUUUUGCAUAUUGUCGUUACCACCUCCCCCAACUAGACUGUAAGCUUCUCAAGGUCAGGGACUGGGUCUUUUUGUACACAGCAGGUGUUUAAUAAAUGUUUAUUGAGUGAUUACCUGCCAAAGA
Antechinus flavipes (yellow-footed antechinus) is the source of this 3764-nucleotide RNA transcript. It is a transcript of the gene named MFSD2 lysolipid transporter B, sphingolipid, with no coding region annotated. The record is from RefSeq and is a predicted model, not a curated record. The transcript has 14 exons. Lineage: Eukaryota; Metazoa; Chordata; Mammalia; Dasyuromorphia; Dasyuridae.